CUCAGGCCCAGCUCUGUAAACAGGUCUGAACUGAAAGAAAACAAUUCAGUCACUUUUUGAGGUUCUAAUACAUUUGCUCUACCUAUCACAAAUUAUAUUUCAUCUUCAUGUAUCUUUUCUCAGCUGGGGCUUUGCUCUUCACAGGCAAAUGGAAUGGUAUCAGUCCCUCCAGACUGUAUCUCCUCUACUGACACUCUGUGCCAGUUUCAAAGAAAUUACUGGCAAAACUCCCACUGGCUUCUGGGAUGAAAUCAUACUCAUCCUUUUUGUCCUUAUUCCAAUGAAUAUUCCUGAUGCAGAGAAUUAAUGUGAUCCAGUUGAGAUCCAGUUGGACACAUCAACAGAUCUCUCAGUUGACUUGGAGACCAUGAAUGUAAGGUAUUGGUUUAUUGACAUAACUGCAAUUAGACAAUUUAAAAAAGAAUUGAUUAUGAAAGAUUUUGCUGCUUUUUUACCCCAAGUUUUUUACCCCCCCCCCCCCCCCCCCAUAGUUUGGGUAGUGCAAAAAAUAAAUAAAUAAAAUGAUAAUGUAUGUUUUUUGAG
Molecule: long non-coding RNA, 543 nt
Filed under: Anas platyrhynchos platyrhynchos (common mallard)
Lineage: Eukaryota; Metazoa; Chordata; Aves; Anseriformes; Anatidae
Description: lncRNA (ENSAPLG00000029685.1)
Source: RNAcentral